Daphnia pulex (common water flea) is the source of this 1039-nucleotide long non-coding RNA. RefSeq lists it as uncharacterized. The record is from RefSeq and is a predicted model, not a curated record. The transcript has 3 exons. Lineage: Eukaryota; Metazoa; Arthropoda; Branchiopoda; Diplostraca; Daphniidae.
GGUUCAAGACUGCUGUGACGCACACCGAAUUGUGUGUUAAUACUUUGAACGGCCAAAUUUAGGUCAACAUCAGAUGCUACUCGCAAAAAAUAAGAAAUGAUACCUUUUUUAUAAUUAAAAAAAAUUUCCAUCAGAGUCAUUACAAUUGCAGAGGGAUGAGGACGUUUUUAAUUGCAAAACUGAAAAUGGCAAUGUUGCGCCUUGCGCGUAACUUUCAAGAUGGCUGCUGGCAUUCGACGAAAAUCGACAUUCGACAGCAGCUGACAGAUCCCCGGAGUGCCGUUCUGGUGUUUCCAUUCACAUUUUCAUGGCUGAAAAAUCAAGACCAAACAUGACUGAUUUGAAUGGUGGAUAAUAUAGGAUACCUGCUGCUUCAAAUGAGAUAUCUGAUGAUGCAGCCAUGCUGAUCCAUCCUCAAGAUGGAAAUGAAAUAUUUAAUAUUUAUUUUGGUUCGAUUGUUUUUAUUUGUGGUCGUUUUUCUUUUGGGUGGAAUCUCCUUCCUUUCAUGGAGAGUACGCCUCAUUCAGGCCCAAAAGUCUUAUUUUCUAAAUAAUGCGAGUUAUGAUGUCUGCUGAUUCUAAUACUUUUGCAAUGACCGAAUGGCCUUCAGCUGCAGCAGUUUCUUCUCGUCUUUUCCAGAAGAACUUUACUACCUGUAACUAUUACCCACCAGACCAACAAAGGAUCUUUGGCUCUUGUGUAUUUCAGUAUAUUCGCGUAUGGAAGCAAGCUAAACAGCUAUUGGUCUUGUUAGGCACAAUUUUAAUAGAUCUCACACUGUCGUUUAACUAAAUAAAGACAUAAACGUUUAUGUAUGUAGCCGAUUUAGCAACAAUUGUAGUGUUUCUAAAGGCUAGAUCGACCCGAGAUGUUUAACAAAUAGUUCGGCGGAUAGGUAAACGCUUAAACAGUCACUCCUCAAAGUAAAUUUGUUACAUCAUAGAUCCUACCAGUUAUGUAAAAAAUGGGUCUGAAUGAUACAGAUUUAUCUUAUUCUUAAUGAUUAUUAGAUGAAAAAUAAAUAAAAGUGUAAAUUACA